GGUUAGUGAAAAAGAAUUACAUGAAGAACAGAAAAGAAUAGGAUAAGCAUUUAGAUAUAUAAAUAUUGAUAUGAUCAUAUGUUUUCAUUUAUAACUUUUAUCUCCAACUAGAUGGCAAAUUAUGGUUUCUACUACUAUUUCCUUCACUAGUUUCUGGGGCUCCAUCACCAUAUUGUUUUCUGGCUAACUUGGGACCAGCUUGGUUGUCUUGUUUGUAGUCACGGUGGGAAUUAGACGAUUCUCUUUCUCUACCAAUACGACGUUCAUCACGAACCAGCAGGUCAUCCGCCUCUAGCAUGUGGAUAAUGUGUCCCAUUUUAGGCCUCUUUUGAGCAUCAGGAUCAACACACCGAAGAGCAACUAAAAGAGCACGCUUGAGUCCUUUUGAAGAAGGCAUUUCAGGCAACUUAGGAUCAACCACUUCCUCAGAUUGUCGAUUACCAACCAUCAUUUUUAACCACUCCACCAAAUUAGUCUCGCCUUUUGGUCUACCAUAAUCAACUGGAGUUCUGCCAGUAAUUAUCUCCAUGAUAAGUAUUCCAAAG
Molecule: unclassified non-coding RNA, 545 nt
Filed under: Hevea brasiliensis (rubber tree)
Lineage: Eukaryota; Viridiplantae; Streptophyta; Magnoliopsida; Malpighiales; Euphorbiaceae
Source: RNAcentral